Molecule: transfer RNA, 71 nt
Filed under: Rattus norvegicus (Norway rat)
Lineage: Eukaryota; Metazoa; Chordata; Mammalia; Rodentia; Muridae
Rfam family: tRNA
About the family: Transfer RNA (tRNA) molecules are approximately 80 nucleotides in length. Their secondary structure includes four short double-helical elements and three loops (D, anti-codon, and T loops).
Source: Rfam by way of RNAcentral
GGGGGUUUAGCUCAGUGGUAGAGCGCUUGCCUAGCAAGCGCAAGGCCCUGGGGUUCGGUCCCCAGCUCCGA